UACGGAGGGUGCAAGCGUUGUUCGGAAUUACUGGGCGUAAAGCGCGUGUAGGCGGCUAAUUAUGUCAGGUGUGAAAGCCCUCGGCCUAACCGAGGAAGUGCGCCUGAAACUGAUUAGCUUGAGUACGAGAGAGGAGGACGGAAUUCCCAGUGUAGAGGUGAAAUGCGUAGAUAUCUGGAGGAACACCGGUGGCGAAGGCGGCAUCCUGGACCGGCAUUGACGCUGAGGCGCGAAAGCCAGGGGAGCAAACGGG
RNAcentral lists this ribosomal RNA (253 nucleotides) under uncultured bacterium. Its description in RNAcentral is "partial 16S ribosomal RNA". It matches the Rfam family "Bacterial small subunit ribosomal RNA", at positions 524 to 776 of the family's 1533-position model. The record is from RNAcentral.